Molecule: long non-coding RNA, 210 nt
Filed under: Lathyrus oleraceus (garden pea)
Lineage: Eukaryota; Viridiplantae; Streptophyta; Magnoliopsida; Fabales; Fabaceae
Description: Pisum sativum (pea) long non-coding RNA (PSAT_LNC029563)
Source: RNAcentral
AAUUAAAAUAGUUAAAAUUAAAAUAAAAACUAAUUAACCUAUUUAUUUAUUCUAGACCCAAUAUAAAAAUAAAUAGACUCAAAAAAAAAAGUCGGGCACCAAAAUGCUCGAAAAAAUAAAAUGAACACGUCAAAAUAAUCAGCGCGAAAUAAAUGACUCUGAAAAAUACAGCGUUUGGUCGGAUUUUGAAAUAAAAAUUAUGACCGUUUA